UCCAAUUUACACAGAAAGCGUAUAUGUAUCAAAAUCCAUGAACAAUCAGCAUAAAAAAUUGAGAUAACAACUUCAGGGAAAACAUGCUUUGGCCGAUAACUGAAGUGUAAAGGAAGAGGUUAUCUUACAUGGGCUUCUCACGGUGACAAUUCACGGGCUGCAGCGGCGGAUUCCGGCGAAGUAGUGGCAGUGUGACAGCCCCACCUCCCCCUAAGGCGUACCAAAGGGUUCGGCGGACCGCCUGCCCACUCUCGCCAGGACUCACUCACUCGUAUCUUACGCAUACAUCCAUAGACAAGAAAUAACAUCGCAAUUCAAACUUAUAAUAUACAUCGAAACUCAAAUCCAGAUACAAAGCUUCUACAUACCAAAAUACUUCAAAGUGUUUACAAUUCGAGUACAAUCAACCCUGGUCGGGUACUAGCACAAGUACAAAUUCAAAAUUCAAAACAACUAGACUACGCUAGUCGGUACAUGUCUCACGCCUCGCUCGUACCCCCUGUAAGGAAAACAAAUGGAGUGGAAUGAGCUAAAAGCCCAGUGAGGUUCCAAAUAGCAAGUUGACCAUUAUUUAAAGUACACGUAUCAACGUAGCAAAAGAUAGCGAGCAUAACAAGUUCAUAAAAGUGAACACUAACACUUCAAGUAGCAAAUUUCCAAAUGACGAGUGUAAAGUGCUUUUGGUUUUUAAAGAAACAAUAAUCCAAUAGGCAAUAAUCAUUUCCAAGUAUAAGGAUACGGAUGGCUCUCAGGAGCCAAGUUCCCAUUGCUUCACCAGAGCUUGAUCAAAUAUUAGUUGACACUCCGUCAACUUUCAAGUAAAGUAACCAAUCCAGUAGAUCACCACUUAACUCCAAUCUCCGUCCACCAACCAAACCCCUUACCGGGCCCGAACUCCAAGAUAAACACUGGUGGUAAUACUCGAGUAUACCGAUUAGUCGAGGAGAUAACACUCCACUCGACAACACUAGAUACCCAUGGUUCAUUAUCUAAUCGACCAGGCCCUUGCCGGCUCGACUCGAUUAACUAGCCAAUGGGGUUUGGGUCCCCAAAAAGUCGAUGAGAUAACACUCCAAUCGACUGAAUCAAGAUAAAAGUACGGAGACGGGAAUGAGAGGUACCUCCCACUCAGAUCGAGUGUGGUACAUACUGCCGCUCAGUACUUACAAGUCACGUACAAGUAUCUCAAAUCAAUUGCAACAAUAAACAAGUACAUAUCACAUUAGGGCAAGUGCGAUAAAGUACACCCUUGCUCGUCAUACCAAUCACAUAUCAUUCGACCAUAUUGGUCAAAUAUUAAAACUAGUGUCCAGUUCAAUCAGGUAUUUGGAAGCACUCACCAAAGGUCUAGUGCCUCUCAAAAGUCACAUUCAGGUCCAACUCCUUGGUUGGAGUCCAAAUCUGCGAUAAAAUAUCAUUUAUGCAUGUAAAACUCUCUAAAGUUCGAAACAUAGGAGUUUCGCUUCAAGAAAAUCAAGUAAAUGCAAAUCGUUUAAGUGGUAUUCACGAUACUUAUCAAAUGCCGAACAAUUCAUGCUCGCUCUUAAACCUUUGUAACUUUGAAGCAAUUAUACUUUGAAAUACCAUUUGAGUCGAAGAAAUGGAGAAAACGUAUUUCUAUUAGUCGUAAUUUUCAUUUUUCCAAGGGUACAAGUUUCGGCCGAAUUCUAACUCAUAUACCUCGAAAAAGAAGACGCAAAUAUUCUAGAUGGUUCACGUGGUAUUCGCUCUCAAGCCUUACUCGAGUCGCAAGUAUAUCUACCUAGCCCUCGAGUGCAAAUUUGGGCAGCACGCCCUUGGUAUUUACCUAUUUUCCAGCCAUUUAUGGCUUCAUUCUUUUUCUCAAUCAGCCCCAAAACACAUAUAAAUAAUCUCAUCACAAUAGUCGUUCAAUAGGCUAAAAGUCAUCCAAAUACAAGGCAAUUCUAGCAAGUAAGCUUCACUUGGAAAUUCGAAAAGAGUGGCUAAAAGCUAAGUACAAGUCUUGACCGUUUUAAUUAAGAUAACUUGUUAAAAGAGUAAAACUUUGAGGAAAUAAGAGAUACAUUAGCGAGAGAAGUUCAAUAGGGGUACAUUUGAAGUCAAGGAAGUGGAAAAAUCAAGGUAAGAGGUUGGAAGUAGGCCGUCCGAGGUUUUAAAGUCAAGAAGCCUGUUUCUCUGCUUUAGGAAUCUACCGAGAUGAAUAGUAACAGUAAACUUUAAAAAUUCGCAACUCGAGUUCCACAAGUCAAAAAAUUAUGAAAGUUAUACCGUUGUAAAAUAGAUUUUUAGUACUACCACAUCCCAGAAGACACUUUUUAGAGAUUAAAAUCACAAAUAGGCCAAAUAUUCGAUCCAAGUCAAAAAUUCAUUUUCCUGAAGAAACAGGACAUUCAAGCAGGGCAGCCUACUUUGAGGAGUCACGGACAGCAGUACACAUGGUAGAAAAAUAUGAAAGUUUUACAGAACAAAGGCCCAUGAGUCUAGUUUCAAAUGCCACUGACGGCACCUCAAUCGGAUUUUUCUACACCAAGAUAUAAGCAUUUUACUGAAACUGGUCAGUGAAAUCCGAAAAUCUGGAAACUCAAUUUCACUUGUGAAAAACUCUUUUUUCUCUUUUAAAACCACAAGACUUUUAUUCCAACCACCCAUACAUUAAGUAUGACAUUCAUACCAGCAAUUGUAACAUAAUUUAAGCAUCAAAUUUCAACAAAAACCAAAGAUAUACGUAUAUGCCAAGUUGAAAGUUUUGUAAGAUGUGUAGACUAAGAUUAAAUCAUUUUCUAUUCAAUAGUCAUGGAUUCUAAGUUGUUUGUAGUUUGGGUUUUGUUCCACUACACCAAUGAAUAGCAACCAGACUAAGCCAACCAUCAUGCAGCUUAACUGCACCAAUGAAUAGCAAUCUAAAGUUUAAAUACCCACUUCCGCAAAACAUUGACAUGUUUUAUAAAAGGAGAAAAUUUGAACUUCACUACCAUUAUUCUUAUACGGAACCUGGUCAUAUAUCUAAAAUGGAAAUUAAUCAUAUACUGUGUCCUUGAAGAGCACUACCUAAGGAACCAAGAGACAUAGAUAUUGGCACCCAAUCCGUAGUAUAUUGGUUUUCACAGCAGCUCUCUCUUUGAAGCAUCUGACACGACUUCUAUUUCAGAAACUCACCAUUGUUAUCUAAAAAUAAAGCCAAGAGUGCAGCAUAGCAACUAGAACAACUUAUAUACGACUUUCACAGCUAGUAAUCCUAUAUAACCUGAAGUAGAUAUAUUUCAUACUUCUGCUAACACGAGUCUUCAAGGAAAUUCCAGUUACAAGCGUUAAAAUUCUAGCUCCUUAGCCUCGGUCAUCUCAGAAAUUUUCCAGCACCCAAUCAGCCUUUAAUCUAAAUUUUCUUCAGCAAGGUUCAUUCUUAGCUAAAGUCUAACAUUCAUGUCCAUAUACGUGAACUAGAGAGUGUAUAUCAGUCAUGCACAUAAGAAACAAUCAGAAAAUCUCAGCUUAGCUCAACAAUAUCACAUAACAGCUUCUAUUGAGCAUUUCCAGCACUUGGUCAGUAUUUUAAUCUUUAUUUCUUCAGCCAAACCUCUUAUAAACUUAAGGUAAAUGUAUAACAUAUGUUUCCUAUCAUUGGUUUUCCAGAAAUUUCCAGCAAUAAAUCCAGUCUUUACAACCAAUUUCUACUUCAAUCCAACCUCAAGGAAAUAUACAUCAAAAGCCCUCUAAAGUAUGUGAAAGAAAUUAAAGUUCCAAGUCAUGUUACCUUUAAAACAAGCUAGAAGUUAACUCCCCUGUUUUGGUCCUUCUACUCGAUCAAACAAGCUGGAAAUGGAAACAAGACUCAAGCUUCCUUUCAGUUUUCUCUCGCUGGUUGCUCUUGGCUGAAGUGGAAACAAAACAAGGGAAAUUUCUUUGUUUUCCCCAAAUUUUCUCUCGGCUGGAAGGUGGGUGCAAGCCACAACCUUUUCCUCUCAACUCUCUCUACUCUCUCUCGGCUAAGGUGGGACAAAACAAGUGAGCAGUCUUGUUUGUCUUUGUUUUUCUUUCUCUCGGUGGUUGAGCUAAAGAAAAGAAACA
This 4047-nucleotide long non-coding RNA is filed under the name Coffea arabica (coffee). RNAcentral's name for it is "long non-coding RNA (CARA_LNC000562)". The record is from RNAcentral. Lineage: Eukaryota; Viridiplantae; Streptophyta; Magnoliopsida; Gentianales; Rubiaceae.